AAUAUUAUUUUUUCCGAGUUAAAGGAGAUAUAUUAUUAUGAUAUUUUACGUUUUAUAGUGAUUUUUAAUUUUAAUAUAGGAGUUAUAUGCUAUUCAACUUUAAAUAUCUGGUUUCUUAAUAAAUUAAUUUAAUUAAGGCUUUAUUUAUGUUAUUUUAGAAUUUAUUUUUAUAUAAUAAUUUUUGCUAAUAAUAUGGGGGAUAAGCUCUUUAUUAUUUCUAUAAUUUAUUUAUUUAUACAAAUUAUAUAGGCUUUAUAACAGCCAUUAUUUAUUUCGUUAUAGUUAAUUUUGUUUUGAUUAUUUAUUUAUUUUUAAUUUAGAUUUUUAUUAAGGAUUAUUUUUUAAUUCAUAAUUAUUAUUUAUAAUGAUAAAAUUAGUAGUUUUGAAAAUUUAAAUUUAGUAAUUCGGCAAAUGAAAUUUCCGCCUGUUUAACAAAAACAUGUCCUGUAGAUUUUUAUUUCAGGUCUGACCUGCCCUAUGAUUUGUUUUAAAUGGCUGCAGAAUUUUAACUGUGCAAAGGUAGCAUAAUCAUUUGUCUUUUAAUUGAAGGCUUGUAUGAAUGGUUUGACGAGAAAUUAACUUUCUUAAUUUAAAUUUUAUUAAUUUAAUUUUUGAGUUAAAAAGCUUAAAUUUUUUUACUAGACGAGAAGACCCUAUAGAAUUUUAUUUUUAUAUUUAUAAUUUAAUUUUUAUGGCUUUAAAUUUAUUUUAUACUUUUAAAAAUUUUGUUGGGGCGACAGUGAAAUUUAAUUAACUUUCAUUAAAUUUAAUUCAUUCAUUAAUGUUUUUUUUGAUCCUUUAUUAUGGAUUAAAAGAUUAAAUUACCUUAGGGAUAACAGCGUAAUUUUUUCGGAGAGUUCAUAUUGAUGAAAAAGUUUGCGACCUCGAUGUUGGAUUAAAGAAAGAUUAGGAUGCAGUAGUUCUAAUUCUAAGUCUGUUCGACUUUUAAAUCUUUACAUGAUCUGAGUUCAGGCCGGCGUGAGCCAGGUUGGUUUCUAUCUGUAAAUUAACAUUAAAUUUUAGUACGAAAGGACCAAAUUUAAGUAAAAUUUAUUUAAUUUUGAAUAAUAUUAAACUAUUUUGGCAGAUUAGUGCUAUAAAGUUAGAAUUUAUAAAUGUAAUUUUAAAUUACAAAUAGUA
Molecule: ribosomal RNA, 1140 nt
Filed under: Cnemomis nodulosa
Lineage: Eukaryota; Metazoa; Arthropoda; Insecta; Hemiptera; Coreidae
Description: partial large subunit ribosomal RNA
Rfam family: Bacterial large subunit ribosomal RNA (bases 636-1005)
Source: RNAcentral